UACCAAAACAUGUAAAUAUCUUCCUAGACAAAGAUAUUUGUUUGACUAUUCUUACUGGUAUACUUUUUUUUUGGUCUCAAAAUGCAUAUUUAUCUUUGAACAACUAUGAAAAUCUAAAUAGUUACAAGUCUAUCUGCACAACUACAGUUACCAAUAAUACUAUAUGUAAAAGAUGGCUUUUUAAAAAUUAAUAUUAAUUAAACCUCUCCACAAUGUGAACUAAAUAAUUCUUAUACCACAGCUGUAUUCAUGAAAGUGUAGUGUCUACAUUUUUUUAAACUAGAUCUAAUUGUGGACUAAAAAAGAAUCAUUUUCAAACAGUUUUGUCCAAAUAUAUAUCAAAUAUAUAUAUAUACAUAUAUAUAUAUAUGUAUAU
Biomphalaria pfeifferi is the source of this 376-nucleotide non-coding RNA. The record is from the annotation of a GenBank genome assembly. Lineage: Eukaryota; Metazoa; Mollusca; Gastropoda; Planorbidae.